GCUGGGCUUCCUGUUGCUAGGCGACCCUCUCCGCGGGGAAGGUGGCGCACCUGCCUCCCCCCUCCCCCGCCCACUUGCGGCCGGCCCCGCCCCUCCGCUGACUGCACGCCCGGCCUCCUGACAGAGGGCGGAGGGCGUCUGGAGUGGGUAGAGAAGCCCAGGCGGUCCCCAGGCCCUUUGCUCUGGUCUGAAAGCAAUGGGACCUCUGCCCAAGAAUCUGAUGUUACAGACAACCAUAAAUUGAAAGCUCUGCCCCUUCUAGAACUCAUGGGCCCUGUGCUUAGUGGAGCCCUAUGGUCUAUUUGGAAACGCAAAGGGAGACCGUCUGAACAGAGGUGGAUAACAAGGUGUGGCAGCUUGAGGUCACUGGUCACUAGGAUCUGGGAACUCCGCUCUGACUCCGAGUCAGCGGACUGUGUAUCGGCUCUCCCUGGAGAGAGGAUAGAGGCCAGAUCCACUCCUCAUUAUAAUGCUGCCAGAUGAGGCUCACUCUGAGGGAGCAGCUGGGAGGACUGGAAUUCAGGAACCUUCUGGCCCAGGGGAUCUUGACCUGGACAUGCCCAGACCACCCGCAAACCAGUCUCUGGGGGUGGGGUCAGUUUUGUUUUUAAAGCUCCACAGGUGAGGUGAAUGAGAACCACAGACCUAGUCUCCCCCCCUCCUUCUGUAAAGUGAGAACACCUCGGCCCAGAGAGGAGAGGGCUCUUGGCUGAGGUCACCCAGCUAGUUAGCAGGGAAAUUCUGACUAGACUGUGAAAGCCUUAAAGACUAGAGCCCUGUACUUUCAGUUUCGAAGUUUCAAAUGAACUCUUCCCUGCUCCUGUGGUCUGACAGCGCAGGCAGGCCUCCAAGAGACAGAAAAGGCCACAGUCCUCUCCAAAGUGCCCAUCUUCCUCCCCUGAGCUUUGUUCUCCCAGCCGAGCCUCCCGCCCCCCAGUCACCCUGACUGCCUCAAGCACAGAUAUGUCACUUUCACAUGCUGCCCAGGCCAGCCUGUCCUGAGCCCUAGGCGGUUGAUUUGUUCACAGCAGACCGUGACCUGUUAGCUCCAAAGCCCACCUGAGACCAAACUCAAAUAUCUCCACAACCAAUUGUUUUAAACAUCACCCAAAUAAGCAAGUUUGUAGCCAUUUACAGCCAGCCUGCUUUGCAUACCCCAUGACACUGCUCCUAACAUCUGCGAGCUGGGGAUAAGCCCCAGGCCAUAAAGACCCCAAGCUGCCGCUGUGCUUCGGAGCUCUCUGACCCAGAAAUUCCUCACUGUGCUGCUGAGUGACAUCACCUAGACACAUGAGUCGUCCCCCCCCUCCCCCGCCCCAAGUCCCCAAGUCCUCCUAAGUAGCAACUCCCUACUGCUCGGGAGAGACUUCUGAGGGCAGAAGCGCACCUGUCAAGGCCCCGCCCAGUAAACCAGUAAAGCCCGGGUGCGCUGCUGCCACCUUGUGGCCGUUUCUUUUUCUUUGAUGUGCUCCAAAAUCUGCAACCUGCAACGCCCAGGGUUUUUGUUGUUGUUGUUGUUUUUGUUUUUUUUUUUUUACCCUAGGCUUCUUUCUAAAACAA
Molecule: long non-coding RNA, 1560 nt
Organism: Mustela erminea (ermine)
Lineage: Eukaryota; Metazoa; Chordata; Mammalia; Carnivora; Mustelidae
Exons: 3
Source: RefSeq, a predicted model, not a curated record